GGGCCCGUGGCCUAGUCCGGAUAUGGCGCCAGCCUUCUAAGCUGGUGGUCCCGGGUUCGAAUCCCGGCGGGUCCG
Molecule: transfer RNA, 75 nt
Filed under: Thermoplasmata archaeon
Lineage: Archaea; Methanobacteriati; Thermoplasmatota; Thermoplasmata
Description: tRNA-Arg
Rfam family: tRNA
About the family: Transfer RNA (tRNA) molecules are approximately 80 nucleotides in length. Their secondary structure includes four short double-helical elements and three loops (D, anti-codon, and T loops).
Source: RNAcentral